CCUACGGGUGGCAGCAGUGGGGAAUAUUGGACAAUGGGGGCAACCCUGAUCCAGCCAUGCCGCGUGUGUGAAGAAGGCCCUCGGGUUGUAAAGCACUUUCAGUGAGGAAGAACGCCUGGUGGUUAAUACCCAUCAGGAAAGACAUCACUCACAGAAGAAGCACCGGCUAACUCCGUGCCAGCAGCCGCGGUAAUACGGAGGGUGCGAGCGUUAAUCGGAAUUACUGGGCGUAAAGCGCGCGUAGGUGGCUUGAUAAGCCGGUUGUGAAAGCCCCGGGCUCAACCUGGGAAAGGCAUCCGGAACUGUCCAGCUAGAGUGCAGGAGAGGAAGGUAGAAUUCCCGGUGUAGCGGUGAAAUGCGUAGAGAUCGGGAGGAAUACCAGUGGCGAAGGCGGCCUUCUGGACUGACACUGACACUGAGGUGCGAAAGCGUGGGUAGCAAACAGGAUUAGAUACCCGGGUAGUC
Molecule: ribosomal RNA, 465 nt
Filed under: Vreelandella stevensii
Lineage: Bacteria; Pseudomonadati; Pseudomonadota; Gammaproteobacteria; Oceanospirillales; Halomonadaceae
Description: partial 16S ribosomal RNA
Rfam family: Bacterial small subunit ribosomal RNA
Source: RNAcentral